This 503-nucleotide ribosomal RNA is filed under the name uncultured Oceanospirillales bacterium. RNAcentral's name for it is "bacterial SSU rRNA". It matches the Rfam family "Bacterial small subunit ribosomal RNA", at positions 30 to 533 of the family's 1533-position model. Lineage: Bacteria; Pseudomonadati; Pseudomonadota; Gammaproteobacteria; Oceanospirillales. The record is from RNAcentral.
AUUGAACGCUGGCGGCAGGCCUAACACAUGCAAGUCGGGCGGUAACAGGGGAGCUUGCUCCCGCUGACGAGCGGCGGACGGGUGAGUAAAGUCUAGGAAUCUGCCCAGUAGAGGGGGACAACGCGGGGGAAACUCGCGCUAAUACCGCAUACGCCCUACGGGGGAAAGGUGCUUUCGGGUACCGCUAUUGGAUGAGCCUAGAUCGGAUUAGCUAGUUGGUAGGGUAAAGGCCUACCAAGGCGACGAUCCGUAGCUGGUCUGAGAGGAUGAUCAGCCACACUGGGACUGAGACACGGCCCAGACUCCUACGGGAGGCAGCAGUGGGGAAUAUUGGACAAUGGGCGCAAGCCUGAUCCAGCCAUGCCGCGUGUGUGAAGAAGGUCUUCGGAUUGUAAAGCACUUUAAGUCGUGAAGAAGGGUUGUAGUAACGAUACAACUUUGACAUUAGCGACAGAAUAAGCACCGGCUAACUUCGUGGCAGCCGCCGCAGUAACACCGAGACU